CUUCAAUUGACCAGAAGAGGGAAGCAGAGGACCUGAGAUGGCAUCUGAAGUCCCAGUAAGUGACUUGGGAACAAAGGAACACAUGUAAGAAGAUAAGGCAGCAUCAGUUCAGGAGCUUGUCUUGGAAAGAUCAUCUCCCAAGCAGACUGAACCAUUCACAUUUCAACCACAUCAUCUUCAGAAUGCGAAGGCCCAUUAUUGGAAGCCAUCACCUCAUACCAUUAUGCAUUUCCUAGAGCUUCCAUAGCAAACAGGUCUCCUUAAAGUCGGGGAGUACCAGGAGAUCAUCAGGAUGGGGCUGAUGGAGACAUCAGAAAACAGUGAAGCAAGGCCAGUAGACCUGGAGAUUGCAGCAACAGUUCCCAAGAGCUGGGGCUUCCUCACAGCUGUGUGUGUUUGCAUCUUCUGGUCCCAAGAGCAGCCACUGCUCAGGCUUAGAUGCCAUCUUUCUCUGGAAGGAAAGAUGUGGAGGAGGGCCUGGUUUAGAUGAAAUGACCUGGGAAAGCAUCUUAAACAAAGUACCUCUUGCCAGAGCCCUGCACAUGUUCCUGCAUCCUAACAUGCUCACUGUGGGUUAUGUCCUGAGAAGACCUGCUUGGUUUAGCAGCUGUGGUACCCAUGAAAGAAAUACAUCUCUGAUCCUGUGGUAAGUGAAAUCAAAUUUCCC
RNAcentral lists this long non-coding RNA (667 nucleotides) under Homo sapiens (human). Its description in RNAcentral is "non-protein coding lnc-VTCN1-2:1". The record is from RNAcentral. Lineage: Eukaryota; Metazoa; Chordata; Mammalia; Primates; Hominidae.